Mirounga angustirostris (Northern elephant seal) is the source of this 1996-nucleotide long non-coding RNA. RefSeq lists it as uncharacterized. Lineage: Eukaryota; Metazoa; Chordata; Mammalia; Carnivora; Phocidae. The transcript is spliced from 4 exons. The record is from RefSeq and is a predicted model, not a curated record.
UGGGGUCUGGUCUCCCUGUGCCCUCAGAGAUACUAAGAGGGUGAAGAAACAACUCUGAGGUUGGGAAACUCUCAGCACAGGAGGCCUUGGCGUGGCCCAGGAAAUUCAAGCCGCUUCAUCAAGCCCCCAGGUCAGCGUGGAGCAAGAGUAACAUGGCGCUGCCAAGUGAGAGAGAGAGAGAGAAAGAGAACAAGCAAGGGGAGCAGCAGAGGGAGAAGCAGGCUCCCUGCCUGAGCAGGGAGCUCAACGUGGGGCUCGAUCCCAGGACCCUGGGAUCAUGACCUGAGCCAAAGGCAGACACUUAACCGACUGCGCCACCCAGACACUGCUGAGGGACAAGUGUUGAUCGUCUGGAAAAUUCAGUUAUUUCUUUUGAUUUGGUCCGGCUCCUUGGAGGGUGGAGUAUGUGCUUCAGCAGCAGAGAGCAGGAAGAAGGCAGAGAGAGACAGUGAGAGAGGGAACACAAGCAGGCAGAGCGGGAGAGGAAGAAGCAGCUUCCCGCUGAGCAGGGAGCCCGAUGCGGGGCUCGAUCCCAGGACCCUGGGAUCAUGACCUGAGCCGAAGGCAGAUGCUUAAUGACUGAGCCACCCAGGCACCCCAGGUUAUUGUUUUAAAAGUAUGUUUUCUGUCAUUUCCAUGGGGCUGGGGCAGGAAGGGAUGAAAAAUGUGUAUUUAGCCCAUCUUCUUGAUCUAUUUCAACUCUUUUUUUAUGCAUAAAUGUGAUUUUUCUUAUUUUUCCCUUUGAAAGGAUUUUAUUAUAAAAAUAUCAAAAAUAUACAAAAGUAGGGAAAAUAGUACAGUGAAUCUCCAUGAACCAAUAUAACCAGAUUCACCGAUGAACAACUCAUGCCCUGUCUGUUUCUCACUACACACCACCCUCUCUGAUCUCUGAUUCUAUUCCCUGUCUGGGAAUUAUUUUGAGGCAAAUUCUAGACACCAUAUAAUUUAAUAUGUAAGUCUUUCACUGUGUAUCUAUAGCAGACAAGGACAUCCUUUUUAAAACCUAACCACAAUAUCAACAUUUCACCUACCAAAAAAAAUCAAUAAUAAUCCCAUAAUAUCAAAUAUUCAGUUUGUUUCACAUUUUUCCAACUGUCUUAUAAUAUUUUUCAAAAGUUUGCUUGAAUCAGAUUCCAAACAAGAUCCAAAACAUUGAGAUUAAUAUGUAAAAGAUUUUAUUUAUUUAUUUAAGAGAGAGAGGGAGAGUGAGAGGGAGAAGCAGACUCUCCACUGAGCAGAGAGCCUGAUGUGGGACUGGAUCACAGGACCCUGAGAUCAUGACCUGAGCCUAAGGCAGGCGUUUAACCAACUGAGCCAGCCAGGCGCCCUAAUUCUCAUCUUUAAAGCACAGUUUAUUUUUUUUCUUUUUAAAAUAUUUAAUUAAUUAAUUUAUUUAGAGUGUGAGUAGGGAGAAGGGGCUGAGGGAGAGGGAGAGAGAGAAUCUGGAGCAGACUCCACGCUGAGCAUGGAGCCACAUACGAAGCUCUAUCUCAUUACCCUGAGAUCAUGACCUGAGCCGAAAUUAAGAGUUGGACGCUCAACUGACUGAGCCAAUCAGGUGCCCCUAAAACACACUUUAAAAGACGGUUUUGUAAACAUUUCCAAGAGAAACUUUAAAAUAAAUCUGUUGGCCACUAAAAUUACUCACAAUAUUUUAAUGAUGUAAGGUAGUUAAAAAAAAACUUAGUUUGGGUUACAUUAACAUGAUAAGAAAACAAUAAUAUUAAUUCAUGUGACGGAAUGAGAAUGUUAACAGGAAGUUUUGUUAUGAAUAGCUUAGAGAUUUAAUUUUUCUCGUUACAGCACAUAUUCACCAGGCUGUGAACUCAUCCCAGUAAUUUCAGAUCCUCUAUCUGUUCAUAUGGUUGUAGGGACAAAAAGUUAAUUUGAGAAAUAGAUUCUUGAAGUUAAAUAAUUUAAAGAAUAGCUUUGAUAUUUUGGGAAGCAGAACUUCACAAAUUUUGUUACAUUUGGCUUUAAAAGAAGUACCUUAAGU